RNAcentral lists this unclassified non-coding RNA (277 nucleotides) under uncultured fungus. RNAcentral describes it as "partial contains small subunit ribosomal RNA, internal transcribed spacer 1, and 5.8S ribosomal RNA". The stretch from base 1 to 73 matches the Rfam family "Eukaryotic small subunit ribosomal RNA", at positions 1759 to 1831 of the family's 1831-position model. Lineage: Eukaryota; Fungi. The record is from RNAcentral.
CCAAACUUGGUCAUUUAGAGGAAGUAAAAGUCGUAACAAGGUCUCCGUUGGUGAACCAGCGGAGGGAUCAUUACCAGAGUUGAAAAACUCCCUAAACACUUGUGAACCUACCCGUAUCGUUGCUUCGGCGGGCGGCCCCAGGGGGGGCCUCUGCCCCUCGCGGGGCGCCCGCCGGAGGUACCAAACUCUGUGUUACCGUCUGCCUCUCUGAGAAAAUACGCAAGUCAAAACUUUCAACAACGGAUCUCUUGGUUCUGGCAUCGAUGAAGAACGCAGC